Molecule: small nuclear RNA, 62 nt
Organism: Cricetulus griseus (Chinese hamster)
Lineage: Eukaryota; Metazoa; Chordata; Mammalia; Rodentia; Cricetidae
Source: Ensembl
GUGCUCGCUUCAGCAGCACAUAUACUAAAAUUGGAAUGAUACAGAGAAGACUAGCAUGGCCC